AUCUGAUGAGAGUGGCGCACGGGUGAGUAACGCGUAUGCAACCUGCCUAUAACUGGAGAAUAGCCCCCGGAAACGGGGAUUAAUGUUCCAUAAUGUUCAGAGAUCGCAUGGUUUUUGGACUAAAGCUCCGGCGGUUAUAGAUGGGCAUGCGUGCCAUUAGCUAGUUGGUGAGGUAACGGCUCACCAAGGCUACGAUGGUUAGGGGGUCUUAAAGGGUGAUCCCCCACACUGGUACUGAGACACGGACCAGACUCCUACGGGAGGCAGCAGUGAGGAAUAUUGGUCAAUGGGCGCAAGCCUGAACCAGCCAAGCCGCGUGAAGGAUGACGGCCCUAUGGGUUGUAAACUUCUUUUGUAUGGGAAGAACUCCCCGACGUGUCGGGGGCUGACUGUACUAUACGAAUAAGCAUCGGCUAACUCCGUGCCAGCAGCCGCGGUAAUACGGAGGAUGCAAGCGUUAUCCGGAUUCAUUAGGUAUAAAGGGUGCGUAGGCGGAUUAAUAAGUCAGUGGUGAAAUACUACAGCUCAACUGUAGAGCUGCCAUUGAUACUGUUAGUCUUGAGUACAAUUGAGGUAGGCGGAAUGUGUGGUGUAGCGGUGAAAUGCUUAGAUAUCACACAGAACACCGAUUGCGAAGGCAGCUUACUAAACUGUAACUGACGCUGAUGCACGAAAGCAUGGGGAGCAAACAGGAUUAGAUACCCUGGUAGUCCAUGCUGUAAACGAUGAUCACUCGCUGUAUGUCCAUUAGGAUAUGUGGCUGAGCUAACGCAUUAAGUGAUCCACCUGGGGAGUACGGCGGCAACGCUGAAACUCAAAGGAAUUGACGGGGGCCCGCACAAGCGGAGGAACAUGUGGUUUAAUUCGAUGAUACGCGAGGAACCCUACCC
This 890-nucleotide ribosomal RNA is filed under the name uncultured bacterium. Its description in RNAcentral is "bacterial SSU rRNA". It matches the Rfam family "Bacterial small subunit ribosomal RNA", at positions 84 to 976 of the family's 1533-position model. The record is from RNAcentral.